Molecule: long non-coding RNA, 959 nt
Filed under: Brassica rapa (field mustard)
Lineage: Eukaryota; Viridiplantae; Streptophyta; Magnoliopsida; Brassicales; Brassicaceae
Description: long non-coding RNA (BRAP_LNC005497)
Source: RNAcentral
UUGAAAGCCGCUCUUCUAGCCUCAAUAUUUUCGCUUUGCACCAGCUUAAUGAGCGCAGGGCAAGCCUUCUCAGCUACAUUAGUUUUCUUCUCAUGUCCAAUAUCAAUUUCCACUAGGUAUGCAGCCAUUACCACCUGCGUCUCUUCACUCCCUGCAUUAACAAGCCUUAUGUUUAGAUGAAGUCCUUCCAACAUAAACUGAUACAUCAUUAUUGUUGAUCAUUUCACUGCAGGUUUAUGCUUGUAUAAGUUAGGAAUCACCUUCGGCUAGAUGAAUGAGAAGAGGUUCCAAGAGCCCACUCUCUGCCAUUUGCUUGAUAUUGUGAGGGAACUUCUCUAGAUUUUUUAAGAUUUGGUCUGCUGUUUCAGACGCAAAGGCAUCCGACUCUUCAUUGUACUUUGAGGUAACUAACAUCAAUAUUGCCCCUGUAGCAAUCCCAAUCUUCUUACAUGCAUGUUGAGAUUUCGAAAGCUCAAGCAGUAAGGCUAGUGCUGCAUGUCUCACAGUCUGGUGACUGCUUCCCAAAAAUUUGAUCACGCAUGACAUAGCUAACGUAUUCACAAUCAUUUCCUGUAAGAUAACUUUGAGAUAUAAAAAAAAAUAUUGAAACAAGAACUAGCUGUGUCUAAAAUGCAACUUUAAGUAAUGAAAAUGAAAGAGAACGAACCUUUCCUUCAUCAGUGUCUUCGUCUGCUAGUGUCUUUAACAAUUGUAGCAGUUCAUACCUCACAUCUUUACUUCUGUAGGUUAAGUAUCUAUCAAGCAACUGAAUGAUCCCAGCUUCACGGACUUUUAACUUGUUAUACUCUUUCCCUUCACAGGUCAUUUGCAGAUCCCUUAACGCAUCGAUAACCAUACUUUCUGAACCGCCUAAGGAUAAAGCUGCGUGAGCCACCUUGAUUCUUGCCGUCUCGUUUCGCACUUUCCAUUCUCCAAUGAUGGUUUUCAAGACAAGAUUG